This is a long non-coding RNA of Motacilla alba alba, 4238 nucleotides long. RefSeq lists it as uncharacterized. The record is from RefSeq and is a predicted model, not a curated record. The transcript is spliced from 6 exons. NCBI's taxonomy places the organism in Eukaryota, Metazoa, Chordata, Aves, Passeriformes, Motacillidae.
CGGAGAUCUCCGGCAGCGCUCGCGCUGGUUCCAUAUCACAGACUGGGAGCGCAACCCGCAGCGCUGGGCUCCGUGUGAGGCUCCUGAGAUGAGUGUGUGCAGAGACCUGGGUUAGCUGUCUCUCACUGCUGCAGGGGGCUCCCAGCUGCUGGAUACCUCUCUUUCUCUCCUGCCUUUACUGCUAGCUCUGCUGGGGCUGAGUCAAGCGGUGCUGCCCAACUUCUCAACAGCCUUGCAGGUAGAGAAGAAUCCAUACCAAGAUAAAGCAAAAGAGAGGAGACAAGUUUUCUUUCCCAGUCCAGAAAAAAUAACGUGUUGGAUUAUAAUCUAACAGUGGAGAGUGCCAACAUGAACAACGAGGGGCCAGAGAAUCCCAUCUCAUCCACACUGACCCAGGGCCUGAAGAGAAAGAGGGGGAGACCAAAGAAGCAGCCACAGGAGGAUGGUGGAAACACAGCUGUUAUCCCACAGGAUGCUGUGGAACCACAGCCAGUGAAGAAACCACGAGGAAGGCCAAAAGGAAGCAAGAAAAUGACUGUUGUAACUGGGGGAACGGCAGAACCUUCUGCUGGGAAGAGGCGAAGAGGAAGGCCCCGCAAGUGGCCUCAAGCAGUGGUCCAAGAAGGAGAGUCUCAGGAAGGAAAUCCUCUGGAAAGCAGUGACUUGAAUUUGAACUCGGCACCAGCCACACAAGACAUCCCUGGAAAAGACGGCUCCAGGUCUGGCAAAACCACUGGUCUUAGGAGAUGUCUGAGUAACAUCCCUGCUGCAGCUCAGUAGUGUCCCACCUGUUUGUGUCUUGCUGAAGCCAGAGGAGUGGAAAGCAAACAGGACUUUUAAUGUUGUAUUUCAGAUUCUUCAUUUGUGAUUUUAGCCAAGCUCUCUCCUGUUGCCUGUGGACUUGCUUACCCCAAACAUCCAAACAAGGAUUUAGGGGAAGAAAUGGCAAAUUGCCUUGUUGGAGAGAUGCCUUUUAGAGUUUGUAGUAAAUCUUCUGUGAGUAUAGUAAUUUCUCUUUAAAAUACUUGGAUAACCUGGUGCCUCACCCUGCCACAGAGAGCAGUAUUUCAACAGGAGUUGACUCAGCAAUACAGAUACAGGAAAGGAAAUCUGUUUACACAGCUAAUGGCUGAGCUUGUCUUGCCCUAUCACCUCUGGAAGACUGAUGGAGCAAUGCCAGGGGUUAAGUUUUGCUGUUGCCCAUAGGAACUGUAUCUGAAAGACAGCCUUUGAGUUCUUUCUUGAUUAUUUCAGAACAAAAAACCUUCAUGGCAUUUCCAGCUUGCCCUGUGCUGCUGUUCCAGUGGCCAGUAACUUGCAUGCUUUAGGGGAAAGUUUGCACCCUGAUAUCUUAGGGAUUGAUUUUGAAAUUUUUAUCUUAGUGUGAUCAGCUCAGGGCCUUCUCCUAUAACUUCUUCUGGCCUGGUGGCUCUCCCCCCGAGUUUGAUAGUAGCUCCAAGUGCACAGUGCUUACAAGCUUAGUCACAGCCACUGGAUUUUAUCUCUUCAAAGGAGUGUCUGUAAAGAACCGGUUAAAAAGUUCUUCCUUGCAGAGCCUUAGGAUUCAAUUUAAAUUAGUUUAAAUUCAGUCCCUAACACGCGUGUGUGGAGUCCUCUAGUGUCACAACCAUGCCAAUAAAAGCUGCUGAUAGUUCAGUUUUGGGAGACAGCAGUAGCCAGUUGGUUUGAGAUUGUUGCUGGCUGCUCUCAGUUUCACACUGUUUGCAGAUUUGUGCUUUUGGUGUCAGAGCUGUUAAAUUCUGAGGAAUUGAGGGUAUUUCCAAUAUCCAGUUGCAAAUAGUGAAAUCCCGGUGGUAUUUUCCAUCUCCUGGAUGUUCUGCCUGCCUAUUAAAGGGACAAAGUGGGUAUUUCAAUUAUCUCUGACAGGAUGUAAAAUUGGCUAGCUUUACAGUGUUAAAUAUUUAAACAGAACAUAAUUGGCUUUAAAUUUAUGGUGGUGCAUAGCAGAAACCCAUGAAAUGGCUGUAUAUAUUGAACUCAUUUAUUAUCUUUUCAUCAGAGUUCUGUUCCCUUGGCAAGUAUUUAUUUAACACAAGAAAAUGUAUGCAGAAUUAGGAAGAAGGGCAGGGCUGAUUGGAAAGAUAAUAGGGGGAAAAGUAUUUUUUUUCCCUUUUGGGUCAUUUUGUCCAGUCCAUCUAAUUUAGUACUGAUGAGUCCUGAUCCCAUUAAUUCUGCUUAGUAGUGAUGAGAGUCCUAGUCCUAAUUCUCUGUAGUAUCUGGUUUGCCCUAAGGGGGUACUCUCUUGUGCAUGGAGCUUGGUGGUCACAGCAGAAAACUGCAUCACAGAUAAUCUUUGUGCCUCCACUACCAAAUAGCAGAGAAAUCUAGGACUAAAUGGAUUAGAUCACAGGGACUGACCUAAAUCCUGUGCUACAGGAUGAGCUGUGCUGCCAGAUACAAGGAGUUUGACCCCCAGCUCCUGCUGUGGGGAUAGCUCUGGGUGGGACAUGACACGAGUGAGUCUGUUGAUGGUUACAUGAGAAGGUGCAGCUGGUGCUCCCCUGAAUUCUGCUGCUCUUCAGUGCACUCAGAAGUUCAGCUGCAGUUCGUAUCUGCAUUCAAAGGCUACUCCAGUAGCAGACCAGUAUAUUUUACCAACUUCUGUGCCUGAUUUUCAGUUGAUUUGGCAGGUUCAGUACUCUGUAAGGCUAUAUUGCCUGUUUAAUUAACCCCUGCUACCUGAGAGCAGUAGCUGUUGCAGUGUGAGACUGUAGCUUCAGCUUCUAAAUGGAUUAGGGAUUACAUCUGUAAGACUCAGGCUUUUCCUGUGACAUCAGUCAGUCCUUUCUCAACUGGUGGCAUGGAAUAGGGGUACACACUGCCUUGGCUAGAUAGUAAAUCCAUCUGCUUUAGGUCAGCAGUAUUCCUCUGGGAAGUGCAUGCAAAGUAAAAAAAAAAUUUUUUUAAUUAAAAAAAAAUUAAAUCUAGUCUUUGCUACCUCUAACCACUCUGCUGAGAAAACGCAGUAAAGAACUUGUUUCCAUCAAAAUGCAAGUGCUGGAGGAGAACCAACAGAAUUCCACUCUUUUAGGAGCUCUUCUGUGUGUAGUUGAAACCCCAAUUCAUAACUUCAGCUUCCACGUUUACACAGAGAAUUAGAAUGGAAGUCAAUGCCUAUGAAAGGUGGGCAGAAUUCCAGACAUCUUCAGGGAGCUGGGAUUUCACACUGGAUCACUUGGAUUGUCUUUUUUGGAAUUAUAAACGUUUUUAUUUCCCAAUUAAUUACCUUUUCUGUGUAGACAAACCUACCUCUAAGCAAGUGCAUGUCAAGUGUUUUUAAGCUCAGGCAGUUUUGGUCUGACUUGGCCAAAAACAAGAGGUCAUUUCAGUUGGUUAAACCACAGGAGAUGAGUGAGGUUUUUGUCUAGCAAAGUUUGGAAGUUUCCCCUAAAUGGUUUUGGUGAAGGCAUAGAGAGUGUUGGCAACUUGCAAAUUAGCCUUGAAGUUUGUUAAAUAAAAGUCUUAAACAAAUGCCCCUCAGGCUCCUGCUUUGCCUCCUCCUUGUGCAGUACCCUCAGCACACACAGACACAUUGCUGGAUAAGGUGAGUGUCUCUUGACCUGGGCUUUUGGGGAUUAUAAACAAAAAUUUGGUCAUUCAGGAGCAGCCCCAGAUUGAUGUGACAACAAGAAAUAAUAAGCAUGAGGAAUCACACAUGGAAAAAAUCAGCCAGCCUCCUAAGCCCAAAUGUGGGUGCCUGAUUCCAUCCUUUUGUGUGUCUUGGAGGCUUGAUUGGAACACAAGCCAGUUCUGCUUCACAUGUACACCCAGAAGUCUCCACAGUCAAGUCAGUUUCUCCCCCACAUUGUUCUGUGGGCUACACAGCUAUUUAGCUUUAAAUACAAUUAAUUCUCUGCCUGUGCCCUGCCUCUUCAGUUCAUGUGACAGCUUUCCUAACUAGUCCCAAGUUUUGGGGCUGUGGGCCAGAUGAGGCAGGAGCAGAUCUGAAAUAUAUCAACAAUGUUGUUCCCCUCGGUGUGAGCAGAGCUGCAGGUGAGCUGAUGAACCCCUGGCUGGUACAGGAAUUCAUCUUAAGGGUAAGUUCGGAUUUCUGGAUGUCCAGGACUGGCAGCUGGAAGCUCCUGCCCUCCUGACUUCUCCAGCGAGCCUUUUUGAAGGGAUCUGAGUUUCUGUGCUGUAGAACACUAAAUUUUGACCUCCCCCAGAGCUUCCUUUUCCAAGUUUUUCACAUUGAGUUCAGUUCUUGAAAGAGCAGG